CUCCAUGCCUCAUUGCCUUUGUCCUCUGCUUCCUAUCUCCAUUUGCCACACCCUGCUUGUCGUGUACUCUUGCAAGUAGUGAUGAAGCUUCAUGAAGCCUUGACGCCUUCCAGCCAGUUGCAGAUGGAGGAGGACUAGCAUUGAUAUUGGCAGCAGGAACAAUGGAUGGAGUGAGAUGGAGUUCGGCGAACAACAACGUUCCAUGGCCCGAAAACAUCCAAUCUGACCUUUGUAAAUGGAGGUUCGGAGGUAAGUCUGUCUGUCGGCAAGUCUGACAUCUUUUGUUCCGUUAACUUUCCUCU
Molecule: long non-coding RNA, 302 nt
Organism: Monopterus albus (swamp eel)
Lineage: Eukaryota; Metazoa; Chordata; Actinopteri; Synbranchiformes; Synbranchidae
Exons: 3
Source: RefSeq, a predicted model, not a curated record